CUGCCCUCAAGGAGCUUACAGUCUAGCUGUGUGGUGUGAGGCAUUUGCACAAAGCACUAGACAUAUGCACAUCAAGGUAAGAGG
Molecule: microRNA precursor, 84 nt
Filed under: Procavia capensis (Cape rock hyrax)
Lineage: Eukaryota; Metazoa; Chordata; Mammalia; Hyracoidea; Procaviidae
Description: miRNA (ENSPCAG00000019806.1)
Source: RNAcentral